GAUGAACGCUGGCUACAGGCUUAACACAUGCAAGUCGAGGGGAAACGACGGGGAAGCUUGCUUCCCCGGGCGUCGACCGGCGCACGGGUGAGUAACGCGUAUCCAACCUGCCUCUGACUGAGGGAUAACCCGUCGAAAGUCGGCCUAAUACCUCAUGGCAUCGUCUGCGGGCAUCCAACGACGAUUAAAGAUUUCAUCGGUCAGAGAUGGGGAUGCGUCUGAUUAGCUUGUUGGCGGGGUAACGGCCCACCAAGGCGACGAUCAGUAGGGGUUCUGAGAGGAAGGUCCCCCACAUUGGAACUGAGACACGGUCCAAACUCCUACGGGAGGCAGCAGUGAGGAAUAUUGGUCAAUGGGCGAGAGCCUGAACCAGCCAAGUAGCGUGCAGGAGGACGGCCCUAUGGGUUGUAAACUGCUUUUAUGCGGGGAUAAAGUGAGGGACGUGUCCUUCAUUGCAGGUACCGCAUGAAUAAGGACCGGCUAAUUCCGUG
This 491-nucleotide ribosomal RNA is filed under the name uncultured bacterium. Its description in RNAcentral is "partial 16S ribosomal RNA". It matches the Rfam family "Bacterial small subunit ribosomal RNA", at positions 28 to 507 of the family's 1533-position model. The record is from RNAcentral.